UCUGGAGCGGCCCCAUCAGCAUAGGCUUGGCUUUGCCUUCCCUCAGGUGGGAUACAUGGAGGUCCCCGCCUACCUCAGUCAGUUGUCCAAUCCCACCUGGGGGAAGCGUUGCCAAGGAGACCAGGCCAGGUAGGGGGAGGGAUUACCUGCCCACACAAUAGAGGGAGGAUCUUACCUGGGAAUCCUCACUUGGCUCCAGAGC
This is a non-coding RNA of Podarcis lilfordi (Lilford's wall lizard), 202 nucleotides long. The record is from the annotation of a GenBank genome assembly. Lineage: Eukaryota; Metazoa; Chordata; Lepidosauria; Squamata; Lacertidae.